GACGAACGCUGGCGGCGUGCUUAACACAUGCAAGUCGAACGCUGAAGCACCAGCUUGCUGGUGUGGAUGAGUGGCGAACGGGUGAGUAAUACGUGAGUAACCUGCCCUUGACUCUGGGAUAAGCCCGGGAAACUGGGUCUAAUACUGGAUGCUACAUGUCACCGCAUGGUGGUGUGUGGAAAGGGUUUACUGGUCUUGGAUGGGCUCACGGCCUAUCAGCUUGUUGGUGAGGUAAUGGCUCACCAAGGCGACGACGGGUAGCCGGCCUGAGAGGGUGACCGGCCACACUGGGACUGAGACACGGCCCAGACUCCUACGGGAGGCAGCAGUGGGGAAUAUUGCACAAUGGGCGAAAGCCUGAUGCAGCGACGCCGCGUGAGGGAUGACGGCCUUCGGGUUGUAAACCUCUUUCAGCAGGGAAGAAGCCACAAGUGACGGUACCUGCAAAAGAAGCGCCGGCUAACUACGUG
This 470-nucleotide ribosomal RNA is filed under the name uncultured bacterium. Its description in RNAcentral is "partial 16S ribosomal RNA". It matches the Rfam family "Bacterial small subunit ribosomal RNA", at positions 28 to 507 of the family's 1533-position model. The record is from RNAcentral.